Molecule: ribosomal RNA, 235 nt
Filed under: uncultured Actinomycetales bacterium
Lineage: Bacteria; Bacillati; Actinomycetota; Actinomycetes; Actinomycetales
Description: partial 16S ribosomal RNA
Rfam family: Bacterial small subunit ribosomal RNA
Source: RNAcentral
UGGCGAACGGGUGAGUAACACGUGGGUGAUCUGCCCUGCACUUCGGGAUAAGCUUGGGAAACUGGGUCUAAUACCGGAUAGGACCAUCGUUUAGUGUCGGUGGUGGAAAGUUUUUUCGGUGUGGGAUGAGCUCGCGGCCUAUCAGCUUGUUGGUGGGGUAAUGGCCUACCAAGGCGUCGACGGGUAGCCGGCCUGAGAGGGUGUACGGCCACAUUGGGACUGAGAUACGGCCCAG